AUACGGGGCCGUUAUAGCCAUGU
This 23-nucleotide microRNA is filed under the name Branchiostoma lanceolatum (amphioxus). RNAcentral describes it as "Bla-Mir-4872-P25b_5p (mature (guide))". The record is from RNAcentral. Lineage: Eukaryota; Metazoa; Chordata; Leptocardii; Amphioxiformes; Branchiostomatidae.